GACGAACGCUGGCGGCGUGCUUAACACAUGCAAGUCGAACGGAAAGGCCCUGCUUUUGUGGGGUGCUCGAGUGGCGAACGGGUGAGUAACACGUGAGUAACCUGCCCUUGACUUUGGGAUAACUUCAGGAAACUGGGGCUAAUACCGGAUAGGAGCUCCUGCUGCAGGGUGGGGGUGGGAAAGUUUCGGCGGUUGGGGAUGGACUCGCGGCUUAUCAGCUUGUUGGUGGGGUAGUGGCUUACCAAGGCUUUGACGGGUAGCCGGCCUGAGAGGGUGACCGGCCACCUUGGGACUGAGAUACGGCCCAGACUCCUACGGUAGGCAGCAGUGGGGAAUAUUGCACAAUGGGCGGAAGCCUGAUGCAGCAACGCCGCGUGCGUGAUGACGGCCUUCGGGUUGUAAACCGCUUUCGCCUGUGACGAAGCGUGAGUGACGGUAAUGGGUAAAGAAGCACCGGCUAACUACGUG
Molecule: ribosomal RNA, 468 nt
Filed under: uncultured bacterium
Lineage: Bacteria
Description: partial 16S ribosomal RNA
Rfam family: Bacterial small subunit ribosomal RNA
Source: RNAcentral